CUUCGGCUCAACUGUAGCGGCGACGGAAUUUUCCCCGGUCUUGGACGUCACCAUCGCGUGCAAACAAGAAGGAGAAAAUCUGCAGUGGGAAGGUGGCAAUCUUCAGAUCGGGAGGAUUAGAACAGAUCGGGAUCCAAUCUUAUCUAGGGUGUCGGUCAAGGAGUCCAGAAGGAAUACAACUUGGACAAGGUGUCCAAAACGAAAAACUCCCGGGCGCCGGCUCGGACAAGGACUCCCAGGCGGAAUCGGACGCUGACUUCUAGGCGGAAAUGGACGAGGACUCCUAGGCGGAACCGGAUGAGGACUCCUAGGCGGAAUCGGACAAGGACUCCCAAUAGAUAAUUCUCAGCAGAGAAUCGCCGUGAGAAACCCGACGAAUCUAAUACCAAGAUGAUAAGGAUCAACGUGAUCCAAAAGGGUUUUAGGCCCAAUCUUUCACGGCGAUCGACGAACAAGCAGAUCAGCAACAGAGCGAAAUCAAUUUGAAGUAAUCCAGAUCAAAUCCCUUCAAUUCCUCACGUUGGAACUGAUUAGAAUCAACUCCACCGCAGCGCAUAACAUCAAGUCUUCAAGAUCAGCAAGCAAACACGACAAUAUGCGCCCCAAAACAUUGGGACUUUUCUGAUCUAUUCUUAAUCUCGAAAAUUCAACCCCUUACGACGACGGCUGCCAAGAACCCUUUAUAGGGUGACUCUAAUGCAACUUGGGUGGGACAGGCCCCCACGCCACACAACUAAGGCCCAUGGGCUGAACUAAAAGUGGUUUUAGACAGGCCCAAAAACCAUCAAACGAAAAAUAAAAAAAACACUAGAGACUUAAAUAAAUCUCAAACUCUAAAACGAAGUAAACUUCAAAACUGGUGGUGUUUUGAAAUUGGGAUGACAAACGGAGCUUGCAUGGUUUGUUUGACCGGGAAAAACAGAAUCUUAAAAUCAAUCAGUGAACAAACGCCUGAGGCCAUUCAGUCAUGCUUCUUCAAGGAUUGGAACUACUCUGCAUGAUUAGCAAGGAGCGCACAUAUUUAUUCAUCGUUACGCCUUAGGCGGACGCUCUACUUCGAUGCACGUUUCCUGAAAAACAAACUUGUUCCAUAUGUUACGGCUCAAAAAAUUGCCAAGCACAGGA
RNAcentral lists this long non-coding RNA (1125 nucleotides) under Brachypodium distachyon (stiff brome). RNAcentral's name for it is "long non-coding RNA (BDIS_LNC000799)". Lineage: Eukaryota; Viridiplantae; Streptophyta; Magnoliopsida; Poales; Poaceae. The record is from RNAcentral.